UAGGGAAUUUUCGGCAAUGGGGGCGAACCCUGACCGAGCAACGCCGCGUGAGUGAAGAAGGUUUUCGGAUCGUAAAGCUCUGUUGUAAGAGAAGAACGUGUGUGAGAGUGGAAAGUUCACACAGUGACGGUAACUUACCAGAAAGGGACGGCUAACUACGUGCCAG
Molecule: ribosomal RNA, 166 nt
Filed under: uncultured bacterium
Lineage: Bacteria
Description: partial 16S rRNA
Rfam family: Bacterial small subunit ribosomal RNA
Source: RNAcentral